CGAGAUGCUCCUUCCUCUCCACGAGAUGCUCCUCGUCUCCACCGGCUGCUCCUCGUCUCCAGCG
Molecule: long non-coding RNA, 64 nt
Filed under: Pan troglodytes (chimpanzee)
Lineage: Eukaryota; Metazoa; Chordata; Mammalia; Primates; Hominidae
Description: lncRNA (ENSPTRG00000053625.1)
Source: RNAcentral